Amblyraja radiata (thorny skate) is the source of this 187-nucleotide long non-coding RNA. RefSeq lists it as uncharacterized. The record is from RefSeq and is a predicted model, not a curated record. The transcript has 3 exons. NCBI's taxonomy places the organism in Eukaryota, Metazoa, Chordata, Chondrichthyes, Rajiformes, Rajidae.
CUCCAAUUUGCGCUGGGCCUCACUCUGGCAAUGGAGGAGGCCCAGGACAGAAAGGUCAGAUUGGGAACGGGAGGGGAAGUUGAAGUGCUGAGCAACCGGGAGAUCAGGUUGGUAAGUACGAACUAAGCGGAGGUGUUAGACGAAGCGAUCGCUGAGCUGGAAUCCAUAAGGAAUGGAGGCGCAGGCU